Cannabis sativa is the source of this 200-nucleotide long non-coding RNA. RefSeq lists it as uncharacterized. NCBI's taxonomy places the organism in Eukaryota, Viridiplantae, Streptophyta, Magnoliopsida, Rosales, Cannabaceae. The record is from RefSeq and is a predicted model, not a curated record. The transcript is spliced from 3 exons.
GAAAUGAACCCGUAAAGAAGGAUGUCACCCCCGAGCCGAACGAUAAUGCGGUUGCUUGGAGAAAUUUCUUCAAUGCGAACUACAAAGCCCUUCGAGCAGCUGAGAAGGGAUUAACUGAGAAAGAGGCUACCGACAAAUUGAAAGUGCAAUAUAAAGGUUUCACCGACGAGGAGAAGUCUGAGUGAAGAAGCUAUGACCCU